GUGAGCAGGAAAGGUGUGUGAAGAAGGGAGAAUAUGUGUGAGCAGGAAAGGUGUGUGAAGAAGGGAGAAUAUGUGUGAGCAGGAAAAGUGUGUGAAGACAGAAGAGUGUGUGAGAGGAGGAAGAGAGUGUGUGAAGGCAGGAGAGAGAGUGUGAGGGGGGGAAAGGUGUGUGAAGAAGGGAGAAUAUGUGUGAGCAGGAAAAGUGUGUGAAGACAGAAGAGUGUGUGAGAGGAGGAAGAGAGUGUGUGAAGGCAGGAGAGAGAGUGUGAGAGGGGGGGAAAGGUGUGUGAAGAAGGGAGAAUAUGUGUGAGCAGGAAAGGUGUGUGAAGAAGGGAGAAUAUGUGUGAGCAGGAAAAGUGUGUGAAGAAGGGAGAAUAUGUGU
This is a non-coding RNA of Xyrichtys novacula (pearly razorfish), 382 nucleotides long. NCBI's taxonomy places the organism in Eukaryota, Metazoa, Chordata, Actinopteri, Labriformes, Labridae. The record is from the annotation of a GenBank genome assembly.